CAAGAAGUUUGGUUGGCCUGUGAAUGUGACCUGGACUGCGUGAGAGAGAUGGAGCUGUAGAGAUCCACCUCCAUUUCCCAUGGCAGCUGGGAAAUGCUCAGAUGGAGGAAAGCUCUCAGGGGAGAACCGGAGGGUUUCUUUAUGGGCUAGAUGUGGAGAAGGAGAGAAAAAGAAGCCAAAGAUGACCUCUGUCUGACAUUGGAACUGCUGUUUCUUCCAUUUACUCCCUGCUGCUGGAAUUGGGUGGUAAAUGAGCUGCGGUAGUCCUACCCACCCCCACCACCCCAUCAUCUCCAAGUACAAGGUCCUCUGUACCACCCAGGCUCAGAAAAGACCAAGUGACCUUCCUGCAUUAGAGAAAUGAGACUUCUCCGGAGACGAACAGAAAUGCGGGUAGAAAAUGACUGAAAUUACUGGGUAUCAGGAGAUGAUGACCUGGGCGAGAGAGAAGAUGUCGGGGGAAGUGUCUGUGACUCAGUAAUGACACGAUGUGGAGCUGUUUGCUUAUUUUUUUCUGGCUUUUACUCCAGAUGAGCAGUUCUGGCUGUCACAUGGUGCAGGACAAAGUAGGAGUCCAGCUUUCAUAAAGGAGGCCCCAGGGUGAUGGUGGCAUGGGGUCCAGAGGUCCCCUGGUGUGACUGGACUGGAAAGGAGAGCUGAAAGGGAGAUGACAAGAGACAGGGGAGAAAAGAGCCAAACAGUAACCCACACCCAAGUGACAGAGAAGGGGACAGGGUAUAAUAGAUGUGGAGACGAGGAGCUGGCCAAGGCAAGCCUUAUAUUGUGAGGUGAUGGAAUGGCAUCCCACAGCUUCCAGAAGAGAUGCCUUAAGAGUGAAAAACCUUCCUUCUCACAGUCUGGCUCGAGAAAUCCAAGCCUGGGGUGUCAGCAGCGCCAUGAUUCUUCUGGAGUCCGGGGAGGAGCCUUCCUGCCCCUUCCAGUUCCUAUGGCUCCAGGCAUGCCUUGGCAUGUGCUAGAGUGCGCUGGGCUACUCGUGUGUUCUCCAUAGCUUUCCCCUCUCGCUGUUUUGUUUCCCUUCCUCUGGAGGAGGGAGGAUGCACCCCAAAUCCCUUUCCAUGUGGGCAGUAGAGAUCAG
RNAcentral lists this long non-coding RNA (1096 nucleotides) under Cricetulus griseus (Chinese hamster). RNAcentral's name for it is "lncRNA (ENSCGRG00015039814.1)". The record is from RNAcentral. Lineage: Eukaryota; Metazoa; Chordata; Mammalia; Rodentia; Cricetidae.